RNAcentral lists this unclassified non-coding RNA (726 nucleotides) under Hevea brasiliensis (rubber tree). Lineage: Eukaryota; Viridiplantae; Streptophyta; Magnoliopsida; Malpighiales; Euphorbiaceae. The record is from RNAcentral.
UGCUGUCCUGUUCUCUUAUCUUUGAUCAAAGCAACCUCUAUCACUUUUCCAUGUUGCUCAAACAACGGGCGAAUAUCUUCUUCUGUAACAGUCCUUGGAACAGAUCCCACAAAGAGUUUGGCAAAGCUACCACCAUCAAAACGAUCAGGAGAACUUCCGCGGCCAGCAAAUGGAUACCCUCGUUUAUGCCCUGAUAGAGGCUGAGUAGGAGGCGGCAGGGCCUGGUAAUUAGACCCAAAUACUGCACCUCCGCCACCCAAUGGCGGAAAUACUCCACUACCAGGGGUGCCGCCUCCCAAAGAUCCAAAUUCUCCUACACCUACAGCUCCAGCAGCAGGAGGAGGAUGACGAGGAGGACUGUCGAAUGGGCGGUGACCACCACCACCACCAUUAUGAAAGUUGUUGGGACUCCGACGGUCAUAAUUGCUGGAGGUAUUGCUACCAUUGGUGGAAUAGCGAUUGACGGGAGCAUCAGAAAACCGGGAGGGUCCGUCUGAGAAGCGAGAAGAUCGACGAUUAUGAUAGGACUCUUGGUUGUAGGGAGUGUUGGUAGUGUUGUUGCUGAAGCUACCGUAGCGGUCUCCCCUAUGCCUAUCCAUGGAAGUACGGAGAANUACGGAGAAAAGUAGAACCCUAAUUUAAAGAAAUUGUGGGCUCUAGAAUAUGGGAAGAGAAGGAAGGUUAGACUCAAAGAGAGCUGCUGAGGAGAGGACAGGAGAAGCAGAG